GCUCCCACUACUUAGUUUAUGGAAAACAACGAAAUCUGACAACAGCUGAGUCCUCCCUGUGAGGAGGAGUCAAUGCAAAACUCAGAUGUCUUCCACCUCUACUUAUCUGACUGCAGAGAGGAGGACAGAGGACAGUGGACACACAGUUUAACAUGAUGGACUAUAGGACAGGACUGCUGCUUUUAACCAUCUGCUGCUGGACAGGUGUUGAUGGUCAGACUCUGACAGAAUCUGAACCAGUUAUUAAAAGACCUGGAGAAUCCCACAGACUGACCUGUACAGCCUCUGGAUUCACAUUCAGCAGCUCUUAUAUGGCCUGGGUUAGACAGGCUCCUGGAAAAGGACUGGAGUGGAUCGCUUAUAUCUAUACUGACAGUAGCAACAUGUUCUACUCCCAGUCAGUUCAGGGCCGGUUCACCAUCUCCAGAGACAACAACAGACAGCAGCUGUAUCUGCAGAUGAACAGUCUGAGGACUGAAGACUCUGCUGUUUAUUAUUGUGCUCGAGAGCCACAGUGACUGGAGUUGGUUGAGCAGCUGUACAAAAUCCUACAGGACUCAUUCUGACUGGACUGAUUGACAACAACCAUGAAGAGUUUUUUCACAACAAUUAGCCUAUAAUUUAUUUUUAUAUUGAAUUUUUUCACAACUUGUUUUAUA
This is a non-coding RNA of Sebastes umbrosus (honeycomb rockfish), 659 nucleotides long. NCBI's taxonomy places the organism in Eukaryota, Metazoa, Chordata, Actinopteri, Perciformes, Sebastidae. The record is from the annotation of a RefSeq genome assembly.